UAUCCUUCUUCCAUUUCCUUUCCGCCUGUCUCCAUUUUUGUCUAAUAGAUCGACUGUCAGCAUUAAUCCAGGGCUGGGGAGUGGCUAUAGAUUUUACCUUUUUAACAGGAGCAACAUGGUCCAAAAUGACCUUACACUUUGUGUUAAAAACAGCAAGCAGCUCCUCUGAACCCAUAUUAACUAUCUUCGGAUCUUUAACUAAAAACUGUGCAUGAGCGUUAAAAGACACCGAAAACUUUGAAACUACUUGUGCAUUUAAAUGCCUAGUGUAGCGAACCACAGUCUCAUGGCCUGUAGAAGGCGCAGCAAUCAACAAUUUAAACAAGAUUAAAAAAUGAUCUGACAGACCAAUAUUGUCUAUUGUGAGGUCACAUACAGGAGCCCCCCCGUGUCAAAACCAGGUCCAACGUGUGACCCUGAGCAUGUGUGGAGCCCAGUACACAUUGAUUAAGAUUAAAUGAAUCAAGCAAAGAUAAAAAAUCUUGUACUAGGGGCUUGUCAGGACAACAGAUGUGAAUAUUAAAAUCACCUAAAAUAACCAGAUUAUCACAUCCAGGAAUCAGAAAAGAAAGCAGUUCAGAAAAUUCAAAAAUAAAAUUUCUGUUGUAGCUAGGAGGUCUGUAUAUAAGUGCACAAAUAACAGGCACAAUUAAGUCCAUCUUAAAUACUUGUACCUCGAAGCUCACAAAAUCAUCCACCACAAUUUGUUUGCAUUUAAAACAAUUCUUAAAAAUAGUAGCAAUCCCACCACCACGUCCCUGAGGUCGCGGUGAGUUCAAAAAGUUGUAAUUACACGGGGAUGCUUCAGACAGUGGGACCUGAUCCUGCCCAUUAAGCCAGGUCUCAGUCAAGAAAAAGAGAUUAACGUCUCUCGAUAGAAUAAUGUCAUUAAUUGCAAAUGACUUAUUGACAAUAGACCUCGAAUUUACUAGUGCCAUCUUCACGUAUAUAGCAGGAGACACAUCACUAUGAGUAGAUACAGACAAGGCAUACUCCAGACAACGAAGGUUGUUAUGGUUAACCCCCCUCUUCCUCUUAAAACUCUGGCGUAUUUGAUUAAAACCAAAAUACGCAUCCCGGUGCGGUGGCAUAACUGCAACUAGAUGCGAGUACCUCACAUGUCGUCUCCAACGAGCCGACCCCGGGACCUUCGCUGCUGAACCUGCAUAUCCAAGGCAUCCUGCUACGAAAGCACGCUCUCUUCUCUGUUUCACUCGCGCGCCUCCUCGCUUGCCUCGUCUUUUACUGCGCUUUCUGCGGAGUCGAAAACAGUCCGGCCAGCCACUUAAAUCCACAGGUAGAUGGGGAAAACAUGGGGGAUCGCAGGGCUUUCGGCCACCUGAGCAGCUCGAUGCCAGCGCCACCGAUCUCCGAAGACUGAGUAAAAAUUCCCGAUCAUAAACUUGCAGAGAGUUCACUUGCU
This is a non-coding RNA of Misgurnus anguillicaudatus (oriental weatherfish), 1423 nucleotides long. NCBI's taxonomy places the organism in Eukaryota, Metazoa, Chordata, Actinopteri, Cypriniformes, Cobitidae. The record is from RefSeq and is a predicted model, not a curated record.